UAAUAUAAAAGAUAUUGGGGAAGUUGGGUGAAAGUCCCACGCAAGUGCGUUACCGUUAUAGCCGGGGUACCAAGGUUGUA
Molecule: non-coding RNA, 80 nt
Filed under: Treponema primitia
Lineage: Bacteria; Pseudomonadati; Spirochaetota; Spirochaetia; Treponematales; Treponemataceae
Also listed under: 1 other name
Source: RNAcentral